This 200-nucleotide ribosomal RNA is filed under the name uncultured bacterium. RNAcentral's name for it is "partial 16S ribosomal RNA". It matches the Rfam family "Bacterial small subunit ribosomal RNA", at positions 332 to 524 of the family's 1533-position model. The record is from RNAcentral.
CCUACUCCUACGGGAGGCAGCAGUAGGGAAUCUUCCACAAUGGACGCAAGUCUGAUGGAGCAACGCCGCGUGAGUGAAGAAGGUUUUCGGAUCGUAAAGCUCUGUUGUUGGUGAAGAAAGAUAGUGAGAGUAACUGCUCAUUAUUUGCCGGUAAUCAACCAGAAAGUCACGGCUAACUACGUGCCAGCAGCCGCGGUAAU